GCACUGCUGAGGAGUCCCACAACAGGACGAACCGUUCGUCCUGUGC
RNAcentral lists this non-coding RNA (46 nucleotides) under Schistosoma mattheei. Lineage: Eukaryota; Metazoa; Platyhelminthes; Trematoda; Strigeidida; Schistosomatidae. The record is from RNAcentral.